GGGGAAUUUUCCGCAAUGGGCGAAAGCCUGACGGAGCAACGCCGCGUGAGGGAAGAAGGCCUCUGGGCUGUAAACCUCUUUUCUCAAGGAAGAAGAUCUGACGGUACUUGAGGAAUAAGCCACGGCUAAUUCCGUGCCAGCAGCCGCGGUAAUANCAGGAGUGGCAAGCGUUAUCCGGAAUUAUUGGGCGUAAAGCGUCCGCAGGCGGCCUUUCAAGUCUGCUGUUAAAGCGUGGAGCUUAACUCCAUUAAGGCAGUGGAAACUGUUGGGCUUGAGUGUGGUAGGGGCAGAGGGAAUUCCCGGUGUAGCGGUGAAAUGCGUAGAUAUCGGGAAGAACACCAGUGGCGAAGGCGCUCUGCUGGGCCAUAACUGACGCUCAUGGACGAAAGCCAGGGGAGCGAAAGGGAUUAGAUACNCCCUGUAGUCAAUC
Molecule: ribosomal RNA, 430 nt
Filed under: uncultured cyanobacterium
Lineage: Bacteria; Bacillati; Cyanobacteriota
Description: bacterial SSU rRNA
Rfam family: Bacterial small subunit ribosomal RNA
Source: RNAcentral